CAGACGGGAUAUAACCGCAUCGUAUAUCCUGAUGAAAAGAUAGCGCGAUGAGGAAAGUCCGGGCUCCGCUGGAAGCAGUGCCGGAUAAUAGCCGGGCAGGAACACCGUACGGUGUUUUUGACAGACAGUGCCACAGAAAACAGACCGUCUGCUUUGGCAGAUAAGGGUGAAACGGCGGUGUAAGAGACCACCGGGUAUGUGGUAACACAUACCGCAGGGUAAACCUCACUGGGAGCAAAAUCAAGUAGCAGCGGGCGUUUCCAGGCUGUCGCUGCGGGUAGAUUGCAAGAGGCAUCGGGUAAUCGGUGCACAAGAUGGAUGGUUAUGCCGCCUGCUUAUCAGGCGGUGACAGAAUCCGGCUUAUUGUCCCGUCUGUUUU
This 379-nucleotide RNase P RNA is filed under the name Treponema sp. RNAcentral describes it as "RNase P RNA component class A". It matches the Rfam family "Bacterial RNase P class A". From Rfam's summary of the family: Ribonuclease P (RNase P) is a ubiquitous endoribonuclease, found in archaea, bacteria and eukarya as well as chloroplasts and mitochondria. Its best characterised activity is the generation of mature 5'-ends of tRNAs by cleaving the 5'-leader elements of precursor-tRNAs. Lineage: Bacteria; Pseudomonadati; Spirochaetota; Spirochaetia; Treponematales; Treponemataceae. The record is from RNAcentral.